UUGCUCUUCAAACGAGGAAUGCCUAGUAAGCGCAUGUCAUCAGCAUGCGUUGAUUACGUCCCUGCCCUUUGUACACACCGCCCGUCGCUACUACCGAUUGAAUGGCUCAGUGAGGCCUUCGGACUGGCUCAGGGAGGUCGGCAACGACCACCCAGAGCCGGAAAGUUGGUCAAACUUGGUCAUUUAGAGGAAGUAAAAGUCGUAACAAGGUUUCCGUAGGUGAACCUGCGGAAGGAUCAUUAAUGAGAACACCGGUGUAAAAGCCGGGCUCUUAAACCCUUGUGUAAACAAAACCCAGUUGCCCCGGGGGCGACCCCGCCGCUCCUUUACCGGCAGCAGGCGAGGGGCCCCCGGCGGUCCACUAAACACUGCAUCAAUGCGUCUGAGUAAGAUUAUUAAAUCAAUCAAAACUUUCAACAACGGAUCUCUUGGUUCUGGCAUCGAUGAAGAACGCAGCAAAAUGCGAUAAGUAAUGUGAAUUGCAGAAUUCAGUGAAUCAUCGAAUCUUUGAACGCACAUUGCGCCCCCUGGCAUUCCGGGGGGCACGCCUGUUCGAGCGUCAUUACACCACUCAAGCCUCGCUUGGUAUUGGGAGACGCGGUUAGCCGCGCUCCUCGAUUCUCUUCGGCUGGGCCCAACGAACCCCUAGCGUAGUAACAUAACAGUUUCGCUGCGGGAGAGGGGGGCAUCCGGCCGUUAAAGACCACCAUCAAAGGUUGACCUCGGAUCAGGCGGGGAUACCCGCUGAACUUAAGCAUAUCAAUAAGCGGAGGA
This 774-nucleotide ribosomal RNA is filed under the name uncultured fungus. RNAcentral's name for it is "eukaryotic LSU rRNA". The stretch from base 1 to 242 matches the Rfam family "Eukaryotic small subunit ribosomal RNA", at positions 1592 to 1831 of the family's 1831-position model. Lineage: Eukaryota; Fungi. The record is from RNAcentral.